This 694-nucleotide ribosomal RNA is filed under the name uncultured bacterium. RNAcentral's name for it is "bacterial SSU rRNA". It matches the Rfam family "Bacterial small subunit ribosomal RNA", at positions 65 to 760 of the family's 1533-position model. The record is from RNAcentral.
AGCGAGAAUUCUUUUCGGAACCCUUAGGGGUGAAAAAUUGAAUGGACAGCGGCGGACGGGUGAGUAACGCGUGGGAAAUCUGCCUUGUACAAAGGGAUAGCCUCGGGAAACCGGGAUUAAUACCUUAUAACGCUUCACUACCGCAUGGUAGAAAAGCCAAAACUCACGUGGUACAAGAUGAUCCCGCGUCCCAUUAGCUAAUUGGUGAGGUACUACCUCACCAAGGCGACAAUGGGUAGCCGGCCUUAGAGGGUGAACGGCCACACUGGAACUGAGACACGGUCCAGACUCCUACGGGAGGCAGCAGUGGGGAAUAUUGCACAAUGGAGGAAACUCUGAUGCAACGACGCCGCGUGAGUGAUGAAGGUUUUCCGAUCGUAAAACUCUGUCCUUGGGGAACAUAAUGACGGUACCCAAGGAGGAAGCCCCGGCUAACUACUUGCCAACACCCGCGGUAAUACCUAGGGGGCGAGCGUUAUCAUGAUUUAUUGGGCGUAGGUGGUACGUAUGCGGCCUGAUAAAUCAAAUGUGAACGGCAUCGGCUCAACCAAUGUAAACAUUUGAAACUGUCCGGCUUGAGUACUGGACACGAAAGUGGAAUUCCUAGUGUAGCGGUGAUGUGCUUAGAUAUGAGGAGGAACACCGCUGGCAAAUGCNACUUUCUGGACGGAGACUGACCCUCAGGUACGAAAGC